CUGCUGCCUCCCGUAGGAGUUUGGGCCGUGUCUCAGUCCCAAUGUGGCCGCACCNCUCAGCGGC
Molecule: ribosomal RNA, 64 nt
Filed under: uncultured bacterium
Lineage: Bacteria
Description: partial 16S ribosomal RNA
Source: RNAcentral